AGAUUGAACGCUGGCGGCAUGCCUUACACAUGCAAGUCGAACGGCAGCACGGGAGCAAUCCUGGUGGCGAGUGGCGAACGGGUGAGUAAUAUAUCGGAACGUGCCCAGUCGUGGGGGAUAACGCAGCGAAAGCUGUGCUAAUACCGCAUACGAUCUAUGGAUGAAAGCGGGGGAUCGCAAGACCUCGCGCGAUUGGAGCGGCCGAUAUCAGAUUAGCUAGUUGGUAGGGGUAAAAGCCUACCAAGGCGACGAUCUGUAGCUGGUCUGAGAGGACGACCAGCCACAC
RNAcentral lists this ribosomal RNA (286 nucleotides) under uncultured soil bacterium. Its description in RNAcentral is "partial 16S ribosomal RNA". It matches the Rfam family "Bacterial small subunit ribosomal RNA", at positions 26 to 313 of the family's 1533-position model. The record is from RNAcentral.